GUCAAAAACCAAAAACUAACAGAUUCAACCAAGAAAGAAAAAAAUAUAAAAAAAAAUCUGGUUAUUUUGGUGGUUAAGGCAUGAGAAGAAGAAAAUAAUAUCCAUAGAAGGGUGUUGCCGAUCCUAAGAAGUUCAAAAGCUGCACAAUGAAGGAAUUAAGAUGGCUAAAUGGCAAACAUAUCUACAAAUAAAAGCAUCACAAAUUCCACAUCUAGUAAAAUUAUGCAAGAACACAAUCAGCUUCCAGUCCCAGAAAUUCAAUAUCACUUCAGAUAAACCAUGCCUUUCCAAAUCAGUUCAUCUGUACCAUCCACAACAGAACCAUUUUCCAUCAAUGAAAUGGCCUUUGCUUACAUAUUUUUCU
Molecule: unclassified non-coding RNA, 364 nt
Filed under: Hevea brasiliensis (rubber tree)
Lineage: Eukaryota; Viridiplantae; Streptophyta; Magnoliopsida; Malpighiales; Euphorbiaceae
Source: RNAcentral